RNAcentral lists this non-coding RNA (24 nucleotides) under Arabidopsis thaliana (thale cress). Lineage: Eukaryota; Viridiplantae; Streptophyta; Magnoliopsida; Brassicales; Brassicaceae. The record is from RNAcentral.
GUUGCUAAUAAUUUUAAAGUCAUC